RNA transcript from Gallus gallus (chicken), 8793 nucleotides. It is a transcript of the gene named family with sequence similarity 169 member B, with no coding region annotated. The record is from RefSeq and is a predicted model, not a curated record. Lineage: Eukaryota; Metazoa; Chordata; Aves; Galliformes; Phasianidae. The transcript is spliced from 17 exons.
ACCCCAUUACACCAGAUGUUGAGCAAACAGAACAAAAAAAAGAGAGAAUGUUCUGCACUUCAAGAGAUAAGAGGUGCUGGUGGAGCUUUCAUGCAUGUAUCAGGAGGGUAUAUUUCAGGUUGCCGUUAUUUGGUAGAUACAGUAGCAGGAGAUCCUGAGGUGCUGCAAGCAGAUGCUGAAACAUACUAUGAAAAACUGUUGAAGCAGUCGUCAUCUGCUCCUGACAUUUUUUCCAUCCCUGGAGGAGAAAAGGUUAAACUUGAAGAUUCCUGUGUGUGUUUUGUCCCCCUCUACCGAAAUAGUCCUACUUGCAAAAUGUUGCUGUUAACUGAUCCACAGGAUAAAGAGACAGUUUUGGCACUUUAUAUGAACCAGCGAUGGUGGCCUGUUGAAGAUGUUGUAAAAACUGCUGACCCUUCCAGAGAUGGGUUGAUUUCGGUCCAGACGCUUGGAGAAAGGAUUGUCCUCUUUGUUCUAAACUGCAUUAUUUUUGGAAUGCCGGAAGAGAAUUCAUCUAAUGGUGCAUUCUUUCUACCUCACUCUGCCACUGAGUGUGCCAAGAUACUCUGGAGAAAUGGCGAGGCUGUUGCCUUUUACUCGGUGAAGAUGAAAGGGAGUCUAUGUGAUGGUACUACUGGUCAAUGUUACUUGCUGCCAGUUUUGGAUACUAUAUUUGUCCAGAGAAAGUAUAGAAGAGGUGGCCUAGGGAUGAAAAUGCUGCGUGAUUUCUGUCAGUCUUUCAAGUCUGAGGAUGCCUUGGGGAUCAGCUACCCUAUUUCUGCUGCCAUGUAUCAAGUGGCAUCCUGCCAGUACCCUCUCAUGAGGAAGAAUCAAUUUGCAAGGUAUUGAAUAAACCCUUGGGCUCUGCCUUGGAGAGGUGACCACCCAUGAAACCAACUGACAUGAAAGCACCUCAAGAUAAGCUUUCAUCUUAAUAAAUCUGAGAGGGAGGGUAUGAAAGCAGAGAGUGGCCGUGGAGGUGCUUCCAGUGUGGCUAUGGAGGCACACAGCUCCCGUUCAUCAGGACUGUUCCUUGCAUCUGUCUGACCUGACCUGUUGGCAGAAUGCGGCUAUUGCAUUUCUUGUCCUGCGGUGUUAAGCUCGGUGCUGUGCCAUGCGAUCUUACUGAACAUGCUUAAGAAUCAUGCUGACCCUGCGAUGGGCCUUCAUGGAGCUUGGAGGAGCUGGUGUGACUUGGAUGGCAGCAGCGUGUGCUGUUCUGCUGUACGAGAAAUCCUGUCUUGAAAGAAGGAGAUGUCAGAGCUGCCCUUGGCAUGAAGCUGCUGCGUGUCCAGGGUUGAAGAAAGUGUGUGCUCGUGUUCCCCAGAAGCUGAGGUCUCACUGUUCCCAACGUGCUCACUGUGAGUCGUGGCUGGGAGAUGCCUAUGACAGCUGGCCUUAAGGGAGGAAGGGGCACUGGGGGACCCUCUUACCAAUAAAGCUGGACAGCGAUUAAGGAAGUGAUUAUCCCUCUGUAAUCGGCACAGUGACACCACCCCAAGUACAGCGCUCAGUUUUGGGCCCCUCACUUCAGGAAGAAUACUGGACUGCAUCCAAAGAAGAGCAUCAAAGCUGGGUGAAGGGAUUAGAAGACAAGACGUGAGGAACGGCUGAAGAAACAAAGGAUGUUCAGCCUGCGGGAAGCCAAGGGGAAACCCCAUCGCACUGUGUAACUGCCUGGAAGGAGGGCACAGCAAGGAAUGAGUUGCCCGCGUCUACGCUGGUGACAGUGGCGCUUCUGCCUGAGUCAGCUCCGUGUGUCAGCUCCGUGCUUGGAGACUCCAUCAUCUGCUUCCUGCGUUAUUACAUCCCUGGCGAGCCCAGGAAAGCAGCAGCUCGGCGCUUCCCGGCUGACUCAGAACUAACUCCUGUCACAACUGACAGUGCUUUCAGGGGAGGAGACUCAGUGCUGCAUGCCUUCUUUGGAUAAGUUCUGGCUCCUGUCCAGGCCAGAAGAAGGGUUACAUUUUGUGGCCCUGCAUCUCACAUACCCUCCAUGGAGCCUGGCCUGCUGUCCAGCGCAAAGAACUGCCACGUGGUACGUUUAGCUUUCCUUGCUCGUUCUUUGAGUGUGUGACACUACUGAGUCCGGUGGUGUAGAUCAACCAAGCUGCACGCUUUAAGCCUGCCUAGUAGUUUUGCAGGGCUUUUUCUGGCUUUGGCUGCUUAAUACAGACAUGCAACUUCAACAUGACCACACAUAGUGGAAGUACACAGAAUUAUAGGUCUUCUUAAAAUUGUCAGGAGCAAAUAUGAUCAGAUCUGGUUCUUGAUCUCAUUACUGUCUGAAAGAUUUGACUGGCAUUUUUAAAUGCCAUGAUUUAUGUUCUUCACCUUAACACAGCCCUCAGUAGUGUAAACCCAGUAACUCUAUUAUUCUCCAGGGGAACUUCUAGGAAUCUGAUUGGAGAAUUUACACAACACUGUGUCUAUAAGAAAAUAUUAACAUGGAUUAAGACAAGUUGAUAGAUAUUAAACCAGGCUAUAGAAUGAAAACCACUGAGAAUAAAUCAAAUAACUUUGCCUAACUACAGAAAGUAUUUGUAAAGCCCUGUAAGGUUUCCAUUUCCUAAAGCCACCUGCCAUCUCAAAUGCCCCUAAUCAGUCACAGAUGUUGGAUACCAACCUGCUAACCUUAUGGCUUUGAGAGAAAAUAUUGCACUUUUGUAAACUCAUUCUUGGGUAUUUCCUUUAUUUUUUUUAAACUAAACUUUCAUCCCUUAUUUUCCACUUAAAUGUAAUGAGUUAUAUCAACUCUGACACUUUGUUCUGCUUAGCCCUACAGUUCCAGUUAGCUGCUUCCCUACCUGGUUCUUUAAAUGUUUGAAGAUCUCAGUUUGUUGUUGUUGCUUUGUUAGGGUACUUUUUGACUUUACAACUCAAGAUCCCCUUUCUGGCAGCAAAGAAUCCCAUGAGAUACAAAAUGUGCAUCUUUUCUGUAACCAUUUGCUAAUGGAGAAGUGCAUAUUUUUCUGUUCUCAACUAAUGUUUGUUUCCACAGUGAAGAUGCAUCAAGUACUGAGCCUUUAUGAAGUACUCUUGAAACAGGAAAAAAAAAGUAGCAAAAAAUAAUGAAAAUAAAGAGACUGCUAAGAAACAAGACAUUUUAGCACCUAUUGGAAUCAAAAGAAAGAAUUUCAUAGAUUAGGGAAGGUACAGAAGAGGCCAAGCUGGCAAAGACCAUUAGAUGCUGUUAGGAUAUAUUGAUAUUCAAGCACAAUGGUGGGUUUGGCUUGGCUGAGGAAGGAGGAAUUAUUCCACUUUAGCUUGUGAAGACAGGCUGGGAGUGGGAGUUGUAAUGGAGGUAGGAAGCAGACUGGAUUUUAUUAGACUUCCAUCAUCUUUAAGAGAUCCCUAACCAGAUCAGGUUUCAGCCUCUCCCUCCACUCUUGUGUCAACCUUUGGUUCUGUUUUUGCUGGAGGAUAAGUUUCAUUAUAUUAAUAAGCAGCACAAGUGGUUCCAAUUGUGGAAGAACCACUUCGAGCUGUCAGAAAUGAUCAGAGGAGAAGUUUCAACCUUUCUGUGAUUGCAGCCUCUUCUUCUGGUGCCUCAACUCAGCACUUCCCCAGUGCACUUCACAUUGUUUAGCAACCAUGACGAUAAUAAAAGGUGUGUUCCCAAGGACAGCUCUGGGAGAUGGUGACAGCUGAAGACCACUGUGAGGCUGAUGCCUGCCUGAGGACCAGUGACACUCUUGUCAGCCAUUGAACCUUACUGCCUCAGUUUCCCUACUGCUAAAUUAAGGCAUAUUUGUAUGAGAUACUGUUUUCUCAACCAGGAAAAUUAUCUCAGCAUUUGGUGUAUAUUUUCUUCUACUGAAGGAUGGAUGUGAUCUUCACAUAGUUAAAAGAUCAGAGCCAUUCCACAUCAGAGAAAGUGCCGGUGGGAGAUGUAGGUGGCCUGUAACACCCACCACUGAUCCUCUAUCUGUGGGGCUGCUGGCAUUGCUAGUUCAAACGGUUCAUCUGGAGGAAAAUGAUGUGUAACUUGGAUAUAUGGGGCUUCCCAGACAGCAGGGCAUACUCUAAGGAAAUGCUCUGCUGAUCAUUUAAUCCCUGCUUUCUUCACUAUGUAGUGCACACUGGCCCACUGAGGAGGUAGGCCCUGCUCCUCCACUGCUGUGACCAGCAAUGCCCAGAGAUCAGUGGCUCUGCAGCUGCACAUCCUGCCUUCUGAACUCAGCCCUGGGAGGGGACUGGAAGAGCUGAAUGGGUCCAUCUGCACUAGCCACCCCUACCUACCUUAAAGCCCCAAACCACGAGGGGCAGUUGGUUACACAGCAGGCUAUUAGCCCCAAGUGUUUCCUGAGGUCUGACUUCAUUUAGUGCGCGGCACGGCACAAGCCCUUUCCCACGCGACGUCUGAACUGAACCUCAUCAGCAGUGCCCAGGCUCUGAUCCUGACCCAGCCUGCACUGCAGCCCCUCUGCAGAACUAACCCGAGAUGAAAGGCGUCAAAUGACAGGAUACAGAGUGCUGAGAGCUGGCUUCUGCAGACAUCUUGCUGGUUGUUUUAAGGUCUUCUGCCUCUAAGUGGCACCAUGCUGAGUGAUUGAACACUUGCUAGAACCUGUUCUACCUUUUAUUGCGAUGAUUCAUUACAGAGCUCCCAGUUUGCAAACUCUGAACAAGCACUGCCUAGAUGUCAGAGCCCUUUGGUCAGAAACACCAGAGCCUUCUGGAGUGAUGGUCCCGGUACUACAAAAUCCCUUUGGAAAGCCACAGCUCUUGAACCAGCACUGGGAAAGACUGAACUUUCAUUUUUAGAGAAGGCUCUCACAUCCCUACGAUCUGUAACGAGAGGUACUCAAAACACAGCCAGGUGAAGCUUCCUCUGCUGUAAAUUUCCAGAGGAUUACACUGAAUCAUAGGUUUAUGGAUUUGUAUGUGCUUAAUAUAAUCAGGCUCAGAUUGUCUGUAUGUAGCUUCUGCUCAGAGAGCAGGAAAUAGUUUGGAAGGGGGACAGAGGGUGUCCCAGAAUGGAUGGGUCCAGUCUAUGUACACUGUGAGACAGACACACACGCACACACUUAUUCUGAACAUCCUGAAACUGCUUAAGCCACGUGUACUCCCCAGACUAGCUAUGCAGUACUGGAAAUGAUGUGCUUUUUAAAUCAGAAGGAAGUGAUCUCCUCUCAGUGCCACAGUGGGAUCACAACACAAUAACAUUCAGCUAUUCACAAGCAUCUACUAUGAAGUCUGGCUUUGCUUUAAUACUUACUUAGAAGUCCUCACACAUUUUGCAGCAUUUGGGGCUGUCUUACUCUACCUUAAAAUACAGUAAGGCUUUCCUGUGCCUACAUAACGAAACAAAAUCCACACCCCAAACUCCAGCUCGAAACAACAAACCAGUGCAGCUCAGGAAAGCUACGGAUGCCUUAAGAGAGCCAAAGAAAUGUACACCAUGAGAAAAGUUUUCCUGUAUUUGAGAGAAGGUUGUCAGGAUGGUAAUAUAGUACGGUGUGUAGUGAAGACUGGGAGAUUUAUGUGCCAAUUCUGUGUAUGAUUUAUUUAGAUGAAUCGUUUUUUAUCAAUAUGUAAAAAUCCAAUAAAUAUAACUCCCUAUACAAAGGGUUGCUCCAGUCCCGAUGUUUCAGUGGACAGUUUUGGCAGAAAGUCAGGAUGUGCAUUAAAAACACACUUUUUGAGAAGUCCAAUAAAUAAAAGCUCUGAAAUAUGGUUUCCUACUGAGAAAGGCAUUUUAAAUCAUUUUGAUAAAGAACCUAAAUUAGGCCUUAAAAGGAGGGGGAAGCUAGGUCCCUGCAACUAAUUAUUUAUAGGUAUUUUGAAUAUAAAAGUCCAGGAAAGCCUGCCUCCAUCCCCCAUUCUCUGCCACAACAAAGGGGAAAGAAAAAGCCAUUCCCCUUCUACCUCCCACCCAAAUUAAAAGGCAGAAGUGUUAGAAAGGGGCUGAAGAAAACAGAAUUAAAAUGGGGAACAGGCACCUGACAAAAACAAGGAGCUUCAGAAGUCCUGGGAAAAGAAGACCUGCACGCUUUCUCAAUACCAGGAGGGGACAGGUCUUCAUUUCUCCUCCGCGUUACUCCAGAGAAGUGGGCUGCUACUCACCCCAGUCCCCUGAAGAGGGAAUACGCUGAUAUUUGCUAAGCACCACAGGGAAUGCUUUUAGAAAUGAAUAAACAUUUGAAUAGCCCUAGUCUCUCUGAAAGUCAAAGCAAUUUAUAGACGUCAUAGAAGUCAAAACUGCUGGGCACUUGGGCUUCUGAAUCAUUUAAGUGCUUCUGGAUAUGUUAGCCCAAAAACGUAGCUGACAUGUGGCAUGUGGACAGCCACCCGCAGGCCUUGCCUUUAGAGGAUGUACAGCGUGGGGACAUGCUAUCCCUGCAGCAGAACCAGUGGGGCUGAAGAAGUGUUGUGUGUUUUAAGUGGGAGAGUCUGUGGCUCCACAGCAAUAAUUGGCAGAGCCCUGUUUUGGAUCUCAAGCCAAGCCCAGCAACUCAGGUGCAGUUCACGAGGCUCAAGGCUCUGAAUGGGAAGGCUGAGAAAUGAGAGAUUAAUACAUGGAAGCACAGUGUGUGUGCUGGAGAGAUUUCUGCUAUGGUGGUUGUGCCUAUCAGGCUUCCUACUGAACUUACUGCUAUUCAUCUUACAGACAUCUAGAAUUUCCCUCCCUGUUCUCAGCUUCACCUUGUACUCCCUUCUGCCUCCAAGCACGAGCCUCUCUUGUCCCUGCACAAGGGCCAUUCAUUCUCCUCUGCUCCAUCAGGAGCGCUUCCCUCUGAGUUCGGGUUCAUCCCUCUCCUUAAAUCUGACCUUCAGAUCUUCCUUCUCACUGCACGGCUCAGUAAGGUGUACACAGCAAGGGCCACUGCACUUGCUGAAGCAGGAGGCUGCUAGCAGGAAAAUACAGACCUCGGAAAAUCAAGAGAAGCAUUUAAGAGCUGGAGUUUAACAGCAUGGGUCUGCAUCUGCCUUUGGCCUGGCUCUGCGCUGUCAUUGCAUAGUACACAAGAGCACCCUUUUGUUGAUCAGGGCCAGUCACAGGUCUUCUAGCAUCCUCCAAAUCCAAGCAAGACAAGGCUGCCCAGACUUACAGACCUCUCCGACAGCUUGCAGCCCUGAUGUGUGCACAACCUGAACUUGCAGACAUGCCCUCUCAGGUCAGAAACAGCAGAAGAGCUCAGCCACACAGCACGAGCGCUGCAUUUAGCUCCAAAGCUGGCAGAGAUACGCAGCCAAGUUUUCAAAAUAGCUGAGCAGCUUGAGGGCUUUGUUGCCUACAGACACAGCAGUGGGAACUGCAGGACUCAGAUCUGAAAAUGUGGGCUGGGCUGGGAGUACUCAAAGAACGGGCCAAGGGCUCCUCUGAAAACAUCUUAAAUGACCAGAUGAGAAAGAGCAAUGGAUAGGAUGGCUGCACAAAACCAGAUGCUGGCUGCUAUUAAAGACAACACUCUGCCUUCAGUUCACACCAGGUUUGAGAUGAGAUCCCGACCCACCAAAAAGAGAAGUUCAGACAGUCGAGAUGUCCAAAAAAAAAAAAAAAAAGAAAAAAGAAAAAAGCAGAAAUCUGAAUUCAAAUUGAAAGUUAAGUAUUAAAAAAACUGCCAAAAAUGUUCAUUUGUGUCAGGAAAACUUAAGCACAGGUUUCUGACAUCUUCAACGCAACCAAAACACAUCAGCCAUAAUGAUUCCUCCACCCGAUUCACCAUUAAUAUGCAGACAAACGCCAGGGGCUGUCAUUUCCCAAAUGAAGGCAAUCCACAUUCAUUUACAUCUGGAACACCUAAGAAUGUUGUGCUUCUGAUGGUAAAUUUUAAGCUGAAAUGAAAGAAGGAGGUAGAAGGCGACGCCUGAGUGUCUCUUGAAAAACAUCAAAAUGUAUUUUGUUUUCAGUCCCUAAAAAAGGAUCUGAUUAUUCAGGGAUCCUUUCCUCUUCACUUCAUUAUCAUUAGCUUAGCAGUGCCGGGUUAUCUAAUUACUCAGCUAGAGCUGGAAACUGCAUUUUCAUGUAAUAAGGUGUAAGAGGACUAGGCUGUCUAGCUUAGUAGUCAGUACUUAAAGAACAGCUGUAAAGAGCAGAGUCAGGAAGGCUGCAGCACGAGAGGAAAUCCUCAGUAGAAUUCAAGUGCUUUACAUCUGUCAUAAACAUACUUCCAGAUCAAAUUAAAGGAAUUUCUUUUAACUGUAUUCACAGGCUCCAAACACUCCACACAACAAGCUGCCUGAGAUCUUAGUCAUUCUGAGCCAUGAAUCAUUCCCCUUGUCAUCUGGCUGUUCUCUGCUGACUGCUAAUUCGCUGUAUAUUGAUUUUAAGACUCUGUUAACACAUGAUAUUUUUGUGUUAAGCCAGGAAAGCUUUUCUUGCUGAAAAAUCACAUCCCAUUCUUAUUCCUCACAAUAUUCAGUUUUGUUCCUUCUCAUUUAUUUAGAAUGACUGAUCAACGCCGUUUAAUCAGCUUUAAGUGGCUCUGUGAAUUGUUCCAUGCUAUUGUAACCACCUACCUUUUUUUUUCUACCAGCACUCAACUUCACAACAUGAAUUCUUCAUUUUGGACUUGUGUGUUUGCCUACUAAUGCAAAAACAUAGCAGACCAAACGAAUGGUGGGGUAACACCCCGAGAUUCUGGAAUUCAGCUGCUCAGAGAAACGUUACCUGAAGGAAGAACUGAAAACACACAUCACAGGAACGAUACCAGCGUUUUUCCUCACUGAUUUGAAACAGGUCAAGACUUUAAAAACUCCUGUAAAAGACUGUGCUGUUACAGCUGGCGAUUAAAGUUUACAAUGAAUCAGAUAAUAAAUAUUUUGUUUGCUUCUUCUGAAACGUCA